RNAcentral lists this ribosomal RNA (465 nucleotides) under Vreelandella stevensii. RNAcentral's name for it is "partial 16S ribosomal RNA". It matches the Rfam family "Bacterial small subunit ribosomal RNA", at positions 338 to 795 of the family's 1533-position model. Lineage: Bacteria; Pseudomonadati; Pseudomonadota; Gammaproteobacteria; Oceanospirillales; Halomonadaceae. The record is from RNAcentral.
CCUACGGGAGGCAGCAGUGGGGAAUAUUGGACAAUGGGCGAAAGCCUGAUCCAGCCAUGCCGCGUGUGUGAAGAAGGCCUUCGGGUUGUAAAGCACUUUCAGUGGGGAAGAAAGCCUUGGGGCUAAUACCCUCGAGGAAGGACAUCACCCACAGAAGAAGCACCGGCUAACUCCGUGCCAGCAGCCGCGGUAAUACGGAGGGUGCGAGCGUUAAUCGGAAUUACUGGGCGUAAAGCGCGCGUAGGCGGUCUGAUAAGCCGGUUGUGAAAGCCCCGGGCUCAACCUGGGAACGGCAUCCGGAACUGUCAGGCUAGAGUGCAGGAGAGGAAAGUAGAAUUCCCGGUGUAGCGGUGAAAUGCGUAGAGAUCGGGAGGAAUACCAGUGGCGAAGGCGGCCUUCUGGACUGACACUGACGCUGAGGUGCGAAAGCGUGGGUAGCAAACAGGAUUAGAUACCCGGGUAGUC